UAACACAUGCAAGUCGAACGGAAACGAAACUAGCUUGCUAGUAGGCGUCGAGUGGCGGACGGGUGAGUAACGCGUAGGAAUCUGCCUGAUAGUGGGGGAUAGCCCGAAGAAAUUCGGAUUAAUACCGCAUAAUCUAUUCGUAGUAAAGUGGGGGACUUUCGAGCCUCACGCUAUCAGAUGAGCCUGCGUAAGAUUAGCUUGUUGGUAGGGUAAAAGCCUACCAAGGCAACGAUCUUUAGCUGGUCUGAGAGGAUGAUCAGCCACAUCGGGACUGAGACACGGCCCGAACUCCUACGGGAGGCAGCAGUGGGGAAUAUUGGACAAUGGGGGCAACCCUGAUCCAGCAAUACCGCGUGUGUGAAGAAGGCCUGAGGGUUGUAAAGCACUUUCAAUUGUGAAGAAAAGUUAACGGUUAAUAACCGUUGACCUUGACGUUAACUUUAGAAGAAGCACCGGCUAACUCCGUGCCAGCAGCCGCGGUAAUACGGAGGGUGCAAGCGUUAAUCGGAAUUACUGGGCGUAAAGCGUGCGUAGGCGGUUUAUUAAGUCAGAUGUGAAAGCCCGGGCUUAACCUGGGAACUGCAUUUGAAACUGGUCAACUAGAGUAUGGUAGAGGAAAGUGGAAUUUCUGGUGUAGCGGUGAAAUGCGUAGAUAUCAGAAGGAACAUCAAUGGCGAAGGCAGCUUUCUGGACCAAUACUGACGCUGAGGUGCGAAAGCGUGGGUAGCAAACAGGAUUAGAUACCCUGGUAGUCCACGCCGUAAACGAUGAUAACUAGCCGUUGGGGGGAUUUACCCCUUAGUGGCGAAGCUAACGCGUUAAGUUAUCCGCCUGGGGAGUACGGCCGCAAGGCUAAAACUCAAAGGAAUUGACGGGGACCCGCACAAGCGGUGGAGCAUGUGGUUUAAUUCGAUGCAACGCGAAGAACCUUACCUGGUCUUGACAUCCUGCGAACUUUCUAGAAAUAGAUUGGUGCCUUCGGGAACGCAGUGACAGGUGCUGCAUGGCUGUCGUCAGCUCGUGUCGUGAGAUGUUGGGUUAAGUCCCGUAACGAGCGCAACCCCUAUCCUUAUUUGCCAGCACAUUAUGGUGGGAACUAUAAGGAGACUGCCGGUGAUAAACCGGAGGAAGGCGGGGACGACGUCAAGUCAUCAUGGCCCUUACGACCAGGGCUACACACGUGCUACAAUGGGAAGGACAAAGAGCCGCGAAGCCGCGAGGUGUAGCUAAUCUCAUAAAUCUUUUCGUAGUCCGGAUUGGAGUCUGCAACUCGACUCCAUGAAGUCGGAAUCGCUAGUAAUCGUAGAUCAGAAUGCUACGGUGAAUACGUUCCCGGGUCUUGUACACACCGCCCGUCAUACCAUGGGAGUGGGUUGCACCAGAAGUGGCUAGUCUAACUUUGUGAGGACGGUCACCACGGUGUGAUUCAUGACUGGGGUA
RNAcentral lists this ribosomal RNA (1440 nucleotides) under uncultured bacterium. Its description in RNAcentral is "bacterial SSU rRNA". It matches the Rfam family "Bacterial small subunit ribosomal RNA". The record is from RNAcentral.